AGUGAACGCUGGCGGUAGGCCUAACACAUGCAAGUCGAACGGCAGCACAGUAAGAGCUUGCUCUUACGGGUGGCGAGUGGCGGACGGGUGAGGAAUACAUCGGAAUCUACUUUUUCGUGGGGGAUAACGUAGGGAAACUUACGCUAAUACCGCAUACGACCUACGGGUGAAAGCAGGGGAUCUUCGGACCUUGCGCGAUUGAAUGAGCCGAUGUCGGAUUAGCUAGUUGGCGGGGUAAAGGCCCACCAAGGCGACGAUCCGUAGCUGGUCUGAGAGGAUGAUAAGCCAAACUGGAACUGAGACACGGUCCAGACUCCUACGGGAGGCAGCAGUGGGGAAUAUUGGACAAAGGGCGCAAGCCUGAUCCAGCCAUACCGCGUGGGUGAAGAAGGCCUUCGGGUUGUAAAGCCCUUUUGUUGGGAAAGAAAAGCAGCAGGUUAAUACCCCGCUGUUCUGACGGUACCCAAAGAAUAAGCACCGGCUAACUUCGUG
This 492-nucleotide ribosomal RNA is filed under the name uncultured bacterium. RNAcentral's name for it is "partial 16S ribosomal RNA". It matches the Rfam family "Bacterial small subunit ribosomal RNA", at positions 29 to 507 of the family's 1533-position model. The record is from RNAcentral.